ACCAGGACCAUUUCAGCUACUGCACUCCGUCUUACCUGCCAUUCUCCAACAGGUCGGGCUUCUACUGGAACGGCGUGGCCUUGUUCCCCGACCCCCCGAAAGACGGGCUGCGACAAACAAUUCUACAAUUCGUCCGUGCAGUUCGCCAACAUGGACCCGUUAAUGGACUACAUCAACAAGAACAGUAAGGACUUGGGGGUCACGGUCCGCUAUGCCACACUCGCCGAAUACUUCCGAGCCGUACACGAUGCGGAUCUUGUCUGGGAGGUGCGCGGGAGUGAAGACUUUCUGCCUUAUUCUACCGAGUCCCACCAGGCGUGGACAGGAUUUUACGCCUCUCGGAACAUCCUAAAAGGGGUGGCGCGGCGAGCCAGGGCCCACC
This is a long non-coding RNA of Hippocampus comes (tiger tail seahorse), 382 nucleotides long. RefSeq lists it as uncharacterized. The record is from RefSeq and is a predicted model, not a curated record. NCBI's taxonomy places the organism in Eukaryota, Metazoa, Chordata, Actinopteri, Syngnathiformes, Syngnathidae. The transcript is spliced from 4 exons.